Nomia melanderi (Alkali bee) is the source of this 502-nucleotide non-coding RNA. NCBI's taxonomy places the organism in Eukaryota, Metazoa, Arthropoda, Insecta, Hymenoptera, Halictidae. The record is from RefSeq and is a predicted model, not a curated record.
CGACUCCUCUGGUAUCCAGCAACCCGAUCGGUCUCCCUCGUUGCUGAGCUCAAGUGAGGCAUCCCGGCGAACGCGUCAAGAUCGUUUGUCAUCUUGAUCGAUUUGCGUCGCGGUUUCAGCGGAGACGUGACUUGACGGGACAGCCGGAAGCGUGUCAGCAUUAUAUAUUCCGCGUGAUUAUAUAACACGUUAGUUUUACGAUCUCGAUCUUGCGGUCUCCGGCGUGAUACCGCGCGCACGGCCAGUUACCAGUUAUUCGUCGAUCGUGUUUGGGUGAUCGUACGGCUUCGCGAGACGCGUCUCCCAUGGGGUCUUGAUCAUGUUAGUCUCUGCCCAACCAGUAGUCGCUACGCCUGUGUGCCGGUGUUAUGGAUCGAGGUGGUUCUGUUGAAAUCGUUCCGAUUUAGAAAUCACGUCGAAACUCUCAUUGGAUGCUUCGAAUAAGGCGGUUUACGUUGAACAAGUUCGUUCUGCUGUUAACGUUCGCCCUUGCCGACCUAAA